Long non-coding RNA from Macrobrachium nipponense, 985 nucleotides. RefSeq lists it as uncharacterized. Lineage: Eukaryota; Metazoa; Arthropoda; Malacostraca; Decapoda; Palaemonidae. The transcript is spliced from 5 exons. The record is from RefSeq and is a predicted model, not a curated record.
UGGACAGAUAUCGUGGGUCCUGCACGACCCAAGGAGUGUUUCAAAAAACAUGUUUUUUUCCCAUAAAUUAUCACCCAUGUCCAAUGCGGGUGUAAUCGACCUGCAGACGGUCUAGUAUACUGUCAGGUUUGAUGGUGAGCAGACGUCCCAGCCCCUCUCUUCAGUGCAUCCCUAUUUUCUGAGGAACCACUAGGGUCAAGGACGACCCACAUCUUAGUAGAAAGUCAUGGCUUCUAGGGCACGCAGAGGUCUGAGUACGGCCGAAAUCAAUGAAGUCAUUGCUCAAUAUGAAAGCGAUGAUUUUGAUGGCAGUUACGUUUCAUUUGGCUGACACGUAGCAGGGACAUCUUCCUGCCAUUGGCCACGUCAAGCUGCGCAAGCGUGUUCGCUGCCGAAGUUGCCCAUCUAGAGACGACCACAAGACGAACACAGCAUGUUUGCGAUGCAAACGGGCCUGUGUUCCUACAGCAUCAAACUGUCUUGUGUCCGAAGUGUGUGCCUCGUACGUAGGUAGCAAAUUUGGCCGUCGCACUUGUCGUGGGUGGGGCCCCAUUUACUGUACAUAUCCAUUAGGUAGCAAAUUUGGCCGUCACACUUGUCGUGGGUGGGGGCCCAUUUACUGUAUAUAUCAAUUAGAUUUUGACCUCUAUGGGUCCGACACCUUUUCUGGCUGUGGAGACUUGUAAAUUGUAGUUUUAGGAAGGAUUCCCUCAAUUUAUUUUCUUAUAUAGGUUAUUUUGUAUUUUUUAUAAAUAUUUUUGUAAAUUAUUUUUUGUUAUAUACUUAUUUUUUUUUAAUAUUUGUAAUAAAUAUCAAAUUUGUAGAUGGGUAUUAUUUAUCUCUUCAGUAAUAUAGUAUUAUCUUUAAACUAAUUUUAGAAACUAUAAUGUACAGCAAAAAUGAAGUUACUGAUUUUUGGCAAAAUUUUCUAGACGCUCGGGUCGAGGUUGACCCACAUUACAUUUAACGGGGUAGCGAAAUAGCG